RNAcentral lists this non-coding RNA (31 nucleotides) under Rattus norvegicus (Norway rat). Lineage: Eukaryota; Metazoa; Chordata; Mammalia; Rodentia; Muridae. The record is from RNAcentral.
UAUUGCCCUAUGAAAUAUAGAUACCCAGAGC